This 86-nucleotide transfer RNA is filed under the name bacterium. RNAcentral describes it as "tRNA-Tyr". It matches the Rfam family "tRNA". From Rfam's summary of the family: Transfer RNA (tRNA) molecules are approximately 80 nucleotides in length. The record is from RNAcentral. RNAcentral also lists the same sequence under 1 other name.
GGCGGGGUUCCCGAGCGGUCAAAGGGAACAGACUGUAAAUCUGUCGGCGGACGCCUUCGAUGGUUCGAAUCCAUCCCCCGCCACCA